CUCUGGGCCAACGCCGCGGAGCCGCCCGGCCCUGCCGAGCUCCGGGCCCCAGGCCAGCACCUCCUGGCUGAGGAGUGCCCGGAAGCAAUCCUAUAGGUGUCGCCGCGUCGCCCCGCCGCGCAGCAGGGCAGCGCCAAAGCCGCUGGCCCGCGGGGAGGGAAGGAAAGGGAGCCUCACGCCUUAUUUUUCUUUCACAAUUCUGGCCAAAGAAAGCAGUAACUCAUAAUCAGAAGAGAAUUUAUCAUGAAGUUAAUUAAGCUGUGUACCUAAUUUUGUAUCUGUCAUCGUGUAUUCUUAAAAGAAGACUCCGACAUUGUAUAAGUUCUGGAUCUGAACAAAACCUGGAUAAACUCUGGUGCUUUAUUAACUUGAUGAAGAUUAGUGACACUGAGGAAUACUGAGGAACCAGGCUCUAUUCCACCCCAUCCCCUUCAUACACACCUCAUUCCAAAUGCUAUCCUGUCACAGCAGAUGCCACAUCACUUUUGGGGUGGGCUAAGAGAUCAAGAAUUGCCAUAAUAUUGAUUUGAAAAAGGAGACCUGAGCACAUAAGUGAUCAAAAACAUAUGAGAUGAAUGAGUAAAUGAACGGAGCUUGCAUUUGAGAGGCUGAACACAUUGGCAGUGACAUGAAGCACAUGAGAAUGACAGCACUAAACGCAGCGCGCAACCUGGGAAAGAGGCUGAAAAAAUACCUACUCAGCCACGACACUCCCUGUAGGGCAAGCUUAUCUGUGUGCUUACUUGGAAGCUCUUGCUUACUUAGAAGCUCCAGAGCCAGACGUCUCUUCGACCAGGAGACUGCCUCGAGAGAUAACAAAUUAUAACCUAAAGUAUGCCCAUGAUGAAACUCACUCCCACUUGGAGAGUAUCUCAAGACUCUGGCCACCUUACCACCUAGUUCUGCCCGCGAGGGCACCAGCUCAACCACCUGGUAGAUAAAGCACCAAAGCAAGUCAUUGAGACCCCCACUGGCUCACCCCCUCCCCUGCAUGCCAUUCAUGUCAAGUCCCCCUUUGAAAACCCUUGCUUUUUUGCCCCAAAAGUGAAGCAGUACCCUUAAAGGCAGAAGCCUGUACUUCUCCCCCUCAACAAAGCUUUGGAAUAAAAGUUACAAGAUCAAGUUUUCUAAAACUUUUUGAAACUCAAUCAUUCAAAUUAUUUUGUACAUUUUAGGAUCAUGUUGAAUUGGGAGGUGAGAGUCGACAAUUACAAAUCAUAAAAUCACAAAAGUAUUAAAACAUUUGAAUGGAGAACCAGACUCAGAAAAAUUAUAGUCUUUUAGUACACAUAUUCUCUGGAACAAAGCAACAUAUAUUUGUAAGAAUUUCAGAGUACAUAUGAAAAAAGGUACUGACAAGCUUUUAAUAAGGCAAGAAAGAGUAACUAAAAAUCAACAUAUAUCCUUUAUUAAAUUUACAUGUUUAAAAUGACAUUGUUACCUUGGUUUUUGGCCUGUGAUUUUUAUUUUUUAACAUAAUCCACUUAAAACAAACAAAAAAAAACAGACGUGUUUAACUUCCAGCUUUAAUAGAGUAGGUUGUAGCAGACUGGUUCUGAUGAGGGAAAUUAGAAAAGCCAGAUAAAAUUUUUAAACAUCUGUG
This 1603-nucleotide long non-coding RNA is filed under the name Homo sapiens (human). RNAcentral describes it as "HSALNT0292896". The record is from RNAcentral. Lineage: Eukaryota; Metazoa; Chordata; Mammalia; Primates; Hominidae.